GACAGAGGUGCCAAGCGUUAGGCGGAAUCACUGGGCUUAAAGCGUGCGUAGGCGGAUGUGCAGGCGUCGUGUGAAAGCCCUCGGCUCAACCGGGGAAUUGCACGGCGAACCGCACGUCUCGAGACAAGUAGGGGCGGUCGGAACGAUAGGUGGAGUGGUGAAAUGCGCAGAUAUCAGGAGGAACACCGGUGGCGAAGGCGGCAUCCUGGACCGGUAUUGACGCUGAGGCGCGAAAGCCAGGGGAGCAAACGGG
This 253-nucleotide ribosomal RNA is filed under the name uncultured bacterium. RNAcentral's name for it is "partial 16S ribosomal RNA". It matches the Rfam family "Bacterial small subunit ribosomal RNA", at positions 524 to 776 of the family's 1533-position model. The record is from RNAcentral.